This 427-nucleotide ribosomal RNA is filed under the name uncultured archaeon. RNAcentral describes it as "bacterial SSU rRNA". It matches the Rfam family "Archaeal small subunit ribosomal RNA", at positions 474 to 903 of the family's 1478-position model. The record is from RNAcentral.
UACCAGCACCCCGAGUGGUCGGACGUUUAUUGGGCCUAAAGCAUCCGUAGCCGGUUCUACAAGUCUUCCGUUAAAUCCACCUGCUUAACAGAUGGGCUGCGGAAGAUACUAUAGAGCUAGGAGGCGGGAGAGGCAAGCGGUACUCGAUGGGUAGGGGUAAAAUCCGUUGAUCCAUUGAAGACCACCAGUGGCGAAGGCGGCUUGCCAGAACGCGCUCGACGGUGAGGGACGAAAGCUGGGGGAGCAAACCGGAUUAGAUACCCGGGUAGUCCCAGCUGUAAACGAUGCAGACUCGGUGAUGAAUUGGCUUAUUGCUAAUUCAGUGCCGCAGGGAAGCCGUUUAAGUUUGCCGCCUGGGGAGUACGGUCGCAAGACUGAAACUUAAGGAAUUGGCGGGGAGCACCACAAGGGGUGAAGCCUGCGGUUC